This 837-nucleotide ribosomal RNA is filed under the name Salmonella enterica. RNAcentral describes it as "partial 23S ribosomal RNA". It matches the Rfam family "Bacterial large subunit ribosomal RNA", at positions 350 to 1191 of the family's 2925-position model. Lineage: Bacteria; Pseudomonadati; Pseudomonadota; Gammaproteobacteria; Enterobacterales; Enterobacteriaceae. The record is from RNAcentral.
GCGCGCGAUACAGGGUGACAGCCCCGUACACAAAAGCGCAUGUGCUGUGAGCUCGAUGAGUAGGGCGGGACACGUGGUAUCCUGUCUGAAUAUGGGGGGACCAUCCUCCAAGGCUAAAUACUCCUGACUGACCGAUAGUGAACCAGUACCGUGAGGGAAAGGCGAAAAGAACCCCGGCGAGGGGAGUGAAAAAGAACCUGAAACCGUGUACGUACAAGCAGUGGGAGCACCCUUUGGGGUGUGACUGCGUACCUUUUGUAUAAUGGGUCAGCGACUUAUAUUCUGUAGCAAGGUUAACCGAAUAGGGGAGCCGGAGGGAAACCGAGUCUUAACCGGGCGUUAAGUUGCAGGGUAUAGACCCGAAACCCGGUGAUCUAGCCAUGGGCAGGUUGAAGGUUGGGUAACACUAACUGGAGGACCGAACCGACUAAUGUUGAAAAAUUAGCGGAUGACCUGUGGCUGGGGGUGAAAGGCCAAUCAAACCGGGAGAUAGCUGGUUCUCCCCGAAAGCUAUUUAGGUAGCGCCUCGUGAAUUCAUCUCCGGGGGUAGAGCACUGUUUCGGCUAGGGGGCCAUCCCGGCUUACCAACCCGAUGCAAACUGCGAAUACCGGAGAAUGUUAUCACGGGAGACACACGGCGGGUGCUAACGUCCGUCGUGAAGAGGGAAACAACCCAGACCGCCAGCUAAGGUCCCAAAGUCAUGGUUAAGUGGGAAACGAUGUGGGAAGGCCCAGACAGCCAGGAUGUUGGCUUAGAAGCAGCCAUCAUUUAAAGAAAGCGUAAUAGCUCACUGGUCGAGUCGGCCUGCGCGGAAGAUGUAACGGGGCUAAACCAUG